AAAGCUGUUGAGCACAGCAGAGCUCCCAGAGUACUGUGGUGGACAACGUUUCUUUGUUCUCUGGCUUUCAAGUUUAAGGGGUGCUUGGACUAUCUUGCAUCGGUGGAUAUGAAAAUAGUGGUAACCUACCCUACGAAACAGCUGUUUGCACAUAAGCUUAACAGUUCCCUGUGAGAUGCUGUGAAAGUCAGCAGGGAAGUGCGAUAUAGAAGAAACGACUGCCAGAAGCUUGCUAAGGAACCGCACAGCCUGUGUGGGCAGCAGACAAAAUAUUCAU
This is a long non-coding RNA of Ornithodoros turicata, 277 nucleotides long. RefSeq lists it as uncharacterized. NCBI's taxonomy places the organism in Eukaryota, Metazoa, Arthropoda, Arachnida, Ixodida, Argasidae. The transcript has 3 exons. The record is from RefSeq and is a predicted model, not a curated record.